GGGGUUGAAUUUUUGUCUUUGUCGUUUUCAGUCCUUAAUAAAUUGGCCCUACAUCUGUAGUGUAGUGGUUAUUCAGUGCCCACUGCAUCAAGGCCCAUUUUCCUGAUAACAGGAGUGAGAUAUGAUUACAAGGACUGAAUGUACAGUUGUUCUUGAAUAUAGUCAUGCAACACAACAUGAUAAUCACUGUCCUCUGCACAAGAUUUAACAUUAGCCCGGUAACAUGGUCUUUUUGACUUUUUCCAACAUAUCCUCUCAUAUUUAUUUGUUUAUAUUCUGUAGGGAUUCAAUGACUUGACUGUUAUGUACUUCCAGUAGGUGGCGAUGGAGCUCAAGAAAUGCUGAUAUCUAAACAUGCAGUAGCUACUUCAAUGAGGGGGGUGUCAAUAAAAGUGUCCAUGGGGAAAAUGUUAGAGUCACUUCGUGUGCUGCUUUCAGACAGAAGCUCAUCAUGCUGACAUUAUUUAUUUUGCUUUGGCUCACUGGUCUUUGUCUGGGUGUUGAAGUUCACCAAACACCUUCAGAAGUUUUCAGGACACCUGGAGAAAAUGUCCAGCUGGUCUGCAGCCAUGGAAAGACCGACUACACACUCAUGCAGUGGUACCAGAAAUCCCCUGGAGACCAAGCCCUAAAGCGCAUUGGACAUUUAAACUACAACAACAAAGAGCAUGAGAAAUCAUUUGAGAAACAUUUUAAUAUUACAGGAGACUUGACUGGAAGUCAACCAAAGAAUGCUUCUAUGUUUAUAGUGGACCUAAAGCCUGAGCACAGUGCAGUGUAUUACUGUGCAGCAAGCUAUGCACACUGAGUGGAAAACACCUUUCUUUAAUACAAAAACUCAGAACCAUGAAAUCAUCAAAGUGGAUGGUUUUAAACUGAACAGACUCCUCCCACAUCUUGGUUAGAUCCCAGCUGACUACAGGGUGAUGCUCUGAUCCCAACAGCUGCAGGGAGACAGCUAUGAAACUCACUGGGUAAUUAAACUAUCCAGCUGUCACAUUUGCAGAACAACAUAGAGAUCAUUUCAAU
Molecule: long non-coding RNA, 1029 nt
Filed under: Oreochromis niloticus (Nile tilapia)
Lineage: Eukaryota; Metazoa; Chordata; Actinopteri; Cichliformes; Cichlidae
Description: lncRNA (ENSONIG00000033507.1)
Source: RNAcentral